UACGUAGGGGGCAAGCGUUGUCCGGAUUUAUUGGGCGUAAAGAGCGUGUAGGCGGCCAGGUAGGUCAGCUGUGAAAACUCGAGGCUCAACCUCGAGACGCCGGUUGAAACCAUCUGGCUAGAGUCCGGAAGAGGAGAGUGGAAUUCCUGGUGUAGCGGUGAAAUGCGCAGAUAUGUGGAGGAACACCGAUGGCGAAGGCAGCCCCCUGGGCUAACACUGACGCUCAUGCACGAAAGCGUGGGGAGCAAACAGG
Molecule: ribosomal RNA, 253 nt
Filed under: uncultured bacterium
Lineage: Bacteria
Description: partial 16S ribosomal RNA
Rfam family: Bacterial small subunit ribosomal RNA
Source: RNAcentral